RNA transcript from Sapajus apella (tufted capuchin), 1364 nucleotides. It is a transcript of the gene named signal recognition particle subunit SRP68 pseudogene, with no coding region annotated. The record is from RefSeq and is a predicted model, not a curated record. The transcript has a single exon. Lineage: Eukaryota; Metazoa; Chordata; Mammalia; Primates; Cebidae.
AUGAAACUAGAGUCGGGGAAGGUGUCUAAUCUUCAGUACUUGCACAGCUACCUGACUUACAUCAACCUGUCAACGGCAAUCAAGCAUAAUGAGAACAUGGCCAAAGGUCUGUAGAGGGCUCUGCUGCAGCAGCAGCCAGAGGAUGACAGCAAGUGCUCCCCCCAGCCCCAGGACCUGAUCUGGCUCUACAACAUCAUCCUACGGAAUCUGGUGGAAUUGCUCCAGCUUCCUGGUAUAGAGGAGGACAAAGCCUUCCAGAAAGAGAUAGGCCUCAAGACUCUGGUAUUUAAAGCUUACAGGUGUUUUUUCAUUUCUCAGUCCUAUGUGCUGGUGAAGACGUGGAGCGAAACCCUUGUCCUGUAUGAUAGAGUCCUGAAAUAUGCAAAUGAAGUAAAUUCUGAUGCUGGCGCCUUCAAGAACAGCCUAACGGACCUGCCUGACAUGGAAGAGCUCAUUACUCAAGUGCGGUCGGAGAAGUGCUCCCUGCAGGCCAUGGUCAUCCUUGAUUCAGAUAAUUCUCAUCAAACCUCCUUCCAAGUCAAGGACAAUAAGUCUCUGGUUGAACGGUUUGAGACAGUCUGCUUGGACCUUUUCCUGGUCACCAAGCAAGCCAACCUUGUGCACUUCCCACCAGGCUUCCAGCCCAUCCCCUGCAAGCCUUUGUUUUUUGACCUGGCCCUCAAUCAUGUGGCUUUCCCACCCCUUAAGGACAAGUUGGAACAGAAGACCAAGAGUGGACUCACUGGGUACGUCAAGGGCAUCUUUGAGUUCAGGAGCUAACCAGGCUCUUCCUUGGGGGUGGGGGAGAUUCUGACUCUUCAUCUGUAUUGUGAGAAAAUCCCAGCAAGUUUCGCGAUAUUAAAUCCAGGUCUGCAUUGGCCCAGGGCAGGAGUUUACAUAUUCAGCCCUGCAUUCCUACAUCUUGGGUCUGUACCCUUACAUUCUUAACCAGUGUGUUAGGAGAGCACCCUGUCAUCUUCUGGUAGAUGUGUGCGGGGUCACCCUGUCUCCUGUACCUCCUGGGAGAGGGGCCGCUGCUGUCUGGUGCUCUGUUUGGUCAGUAAUGUGUUCCGGAGUCCACGCCAGGCACAGAUGGGGCCUCGAAACGCUUUGUCACGCUUCUUCAGUACCAUGGAUUUGAAAUGAACUCAUCCUUGCUGUGAGCAUCCAGGAUCCCUUGAAAAAUUUAUCUAUGACUAUGAAACUGACAAUGUCAUCCCAGAAUUACAGUAAGCCUUAUUCCCCUUCACCUCCCUGUGAACUCUAAGAAGUUUCAGAACAAGCAGAGAGCUCUAUUUUUAGAAGAAAUGUGUUACAUUCAGAAAUGAUGAAACAAAAUCUUAUAUUAAAAGGCAAAGAUUACG